RNAcentral lists this ribosomal RNA (484 nucleotides) under uncultured bacterium. Its description in RNAcentral is "partial 16S ribosomal RNA". It matches the Rfam family "Bacterial small subunit ribosomal RNA", at positions 30 to 507 of the family's 1533-position model. The record is from RNAcentral.
AUUGAACGCUGGCGGCAGGCCUAACACAUGCAAGUCGAGCGGAUGAAGGGAGCUUGCUCCUGGAUUCAGCGGCGGACGGGUGAGUAAUGCCUAGGAAUCUGCCUGGUAGUGGGGGAUAACGUCCGAAAACGGGCGCUAAUACCGCAUACGUCCUAAGGGAGAAAGUGGGGGAUCUUCGGACCUCACGCUAUCAGAUGAGCCUAGGUCGGAUUAGCUAGUUGGUGGGGUAAAGGCCUACCAAGGCGACGAUCCGUAACUGGUCUGAGAGGAUGAUCAGUCACACUGGAACUGAGACACGGUCCAGACUCCUACGGGAGGCAGCAGUGGGGAAUAUUGGACAAUGGGCGAAAGCCUGAUCCAGCCAUGCCGCGUGUGUGAAGAAGGUCUUCGGAUUGUAAAGCACUUUAAGUUGGGAGGAAGGGCAGUAAGUUAAUACCUUGCUGUUUUGACGUUACCAACAGAAUAAGCACCGGCUAACUUCGUG